UACAGAGGUGGCAAGCGUUGUUCGGAAUUACUGGGCGUAAAGGGCGCGUAGGCGGCCUUCUAAGUCAGACGUUAAAUCCCCCGGCUUAACCUGGGAACUGCGUCUGAUACUGGAGGGCUUGAGUGCGGGAGAGGGAUGUGGAAUUCCAGGUGUAGCGGUGAAAUGCGUAGAUAUCUGGAGGAACACCGGUGGCGAAGGCGGCAUCCUGGACAGAGACUGACGCUGAGGCGCGAAAGCGAGGGUAGCAAACGGG
RNAcentral lists this ribosomal RNA (253 nucleotides) under uncultured bacterium. Its description in RNAcentral is "partial 16S ribosomal RNA". It matches the Rfam family "Bacterial small subunit ribosomal RNA", at positions 524 to 776 of the family's 1533-position model. The record is from RNAcentral.